AUAAAAUAAUUAUGUUUUUGGAAAUUUAUUAUAAAUUUAUUUUACAUAUAAAUUUUAGUAUAUAAUUUUAAUUAUUUAAAUAAUAAUUAAUUUAUUUUUGUAGUAAUUAAUAUUAAAAAUUUAAGAAAUUAAGAUUUAGUAAUAUAAAAAUUAAUAACUAAUUUUGUGCCAGCAGUUGCGGUUAAACAAAAGUUAAAUUAAAUUAUUUCAGUAUAUAAUAAAUAAUUAAUUUAUUAAAAUAAAUAUUAAAUUAUUAAGUGAAAUUUUAAUUUAAUUAAAUUUUAUUUUAAAAUUAUGAUUUAAUAAAUUUUAAUAUAAACUAGGAUUAGAUACCCUAUUAUUAAAAAUUUAAUUUAUAAUACUAAAAUAGUAAAUAAUAAUUUAUUGAAACUUAAAUAAUAUGGCGGUAUUUUAGUUCAUUUAGAGGAAUCUGUCUAAUAAUUGAUAAUCCACGAAUAAAUUUACUUAAUUUAUAAUUUUGUAUAUCAUUGUUAAAAAAAUAUUUUUUAGGAAAAAUAAUAUUUAAAAAUUAUAAUAAAAAAUUAAAUCAGAUCAAGAUGCAGAAUAUAAUUAAGAAUAUGAUGGAUUACAUUAAAUAUAUUUAUAUGAAUAAUUUUAUUGUAAUAAAAAUUUGAAGGUGGAUUUAAAUGUAAUUUUAAUUAGUUUAUUAAAAUGAUUAAAAAUUAAAAUAUGUACAUAUUGCCCGUCACUUUCAUUUAAAAAUUGAAAUAAGUCGUAACAAAGUAGAGGUACUGGAAAGUGUUUCUAGAAAGA
RNAcentral lists this non-coding RNA (774 nucleotides) under Junonia genoveva hilaris. The record is from RNAcentral. Lineage: Eukaryota; Metazoa; Arthropoda; Insecta; Lepidoptera; Nymphalidae.